CAAUAUAGCCUAAUCUCGCCAAUGAGAUCUUACUCAAAUAAUAAAAUUGAUGCAUCAAAAAAAGACUCUUCUUUGUGAUAUUGUAUUCUUGUAUACGUGCGGUGUAGCUUUUCCACAAUUGUGUGGUGUUGAAGUUCCGCCUGUGUGCAGGUUGCAUAAUUAAUUAUAUUCAAAUAUCACUUAUAAUUCUAAUUCAAAGAGAAAAGAAGAAAAGAAAAGAAAAAAAAGCCUAAUCCCAAUCCCCUGGAUCCUCCUACCCACAUGCAAUUUGAUGAGCUAA
Molecule: long non-coding RNA, 280 nt
Filed under: Salvia miltiorrhiza (redroot sage)
Lineage: Eukaryota; Viridiplantae; Streptophyta; Magnoliopsida; Lamiales; Lamiaceae
Description: long non-coding RNA (SMIL_LNC002590)
Source: RNAcentral